UACGAAGGGUGCAAGCGUUACUCGGAAUUACUGGGCGUAAAGCGUGCGUAGGUGGUUUGUUAAGUCUGAUGUGAAAGCCCUGGGCUCAACCUGGGAAUUGCAUUGGAUACUGGCAGGCUAGAGUGCGGUAGAGGAUGGCGGAAUUCCCGGUGUAGCAGUGAAAUGCGUAGAGAUCGGGAGGAACAUCUGUGGUGAAGGCGGCCAUCUGGACCAGCACUGACACUGAGGCACGAAAGCGUGGGGAGCAAACAGG
Molecule: ribosomal RNA, 253 nt
Filed under: uncultured bacterium
Lineage: Bacteria
Description: partial 16S ribosomal RNA
Rfam family: Bacterial small subunit ribosomal RNA
Source: RNAcentral